GUGCAGCAGGCGCGAAAACUUUGCAAUACACGAAAGUGUGACAGGGUUAUCCCGAGUGCCGACCGCUGAGGUUGGCUUUUACCCAGUCUAGAAAGCUGGGGGAAUAAGGAGAGGGCAAGUCUGGUGUCAGCCGCCGCGGUAAUACCAGCUCUCCGAGUGGUGUGGACGUUUAUUGGGCCUAAAGCAUCCGUAGCUGGCUGGACAAGUCCCCUGUUAAACCCACCGAUUUAAUCGUUGGCGUGCGGGGGAUACUGCUCGGCUAGGGGACGAGAGAGGCAGACGGUAUUCCCGGGGUAGGGGUGAAAUCCUAUAAUCCCGAGAAGACCACCAGUGGCGAAGGCUGUCUGCUAGAACGCGCCCGACGGUGAGGGAUGAAAGCUGGGGGAGCGAACCGGAUUAGAUACCCGGGUAGUCCCAGCUGUAAACGAUGCAGACUAGGUGUUUGGACGGCCACGUGCCGUUCUAGUGCCGCAGGGAAGCUGUUAAGUCUGCCGCCUGGGGAGUACGAUCGCAAGAUUGAAACUUAAAGGAAUUGGCGGGGGAGCAC
RNAcentral lists this ribosomal RNA (547 nucleotides) under uncultured archaeon. RNAcentral's name for it is "bacterial SSU rRNA". It matches the Rfam family "Archaeal small subunit ribosomal RNA", at positions 330 to 879 of the family's 1478-position model. The record is from RNAcentral.